Molecule: ribosomal RNA, 253 nt
Filed under: uncultured bacterium
Lineage: Bacteria
Description: partial 16S ribosomal RNA
Rfam family: Bacterial small subunit ribosomal RNA
Source: RNAcentral
UACGUAGGGCGCAAGCGUUAUCCGGAAUUAUUGGGCGUAAAGAGCUCGUAGGCGGUUUGUCGCGUCUGCCGUGAAAGUCCGGGGCUCAACUCCGGAUCUGCGGUGGGUACGGGCAGACUAGAGUGAUGUAGGGGAGACUGGAAUUCCUGGUGUAGCGGUAAAAUGCGCAGAUAUCAGGAGGAACACCGAUGGCGAAGGCAGGUCUCUGGGCAUUAACUGACGCUGAGGAGCGAAAGCAUGGGGAGCGGACAGG